RNAcentral lists this ribosomal RNA (492 nucleotides) under uncultured bacterium. RNAcentral describes it as "partial 16S ribosomal RNA". It matches the Rfam family "Bacterial small subunit ribosomal RNA", at positions 29 to 507 of the family's 1533-position model. The record is from RNAcentral.
AGUGAACGCUGGCGGUAGGCCUAACACAUGCAAGUCGAACGGCCGCACAGUAAGAGCUUGCCCUUACGGGUGGCGAGUGGCGGACGGGUGAGGAAUACAUCGGCAUCUACUUUUUCGUGGGGGAUAACGUAGGGAAACUUCCGCUAAUACCGCAUACGACCUACGGGUGAAAGCAGGGGAUCUUCGGACCUUGCGCGUUUGAAUGAGACGAUGUCGGAUUAGCUAGUUGGCGGGGUAAAGGCCCACCAAGGCGACGAUCCGUAGCUGGUCUGAGAGGAUGAUCAGCCACACUGGAACUGAGACACGGUCCAGACUCCUACGGGAGGCAGCAGUGGGGAAUAUUGGACAAUGGGCGCAAGCCUGAUCCAGCCAUACCGCGUGGGUGAAGAAGGCCUUCGGGUUGUAAAGCCCUUUUGUUGGGAAAGAAAAGCAGCAUGUUAAUACCCCGCUGUUCUGACGGUACCCAAAGAGAAAGCACCGGCUAACUUCGUG